RNAcentral lists this ribosomal RNA (245 nucleotides) under uncultured bacterium. RNAcentral describes it as "partial 16S ribosomal RNA". It matches the Rfam family "Bacterial small subunit ribosomal RNA", at positions 563 to 807 of the family's 1533-position model. The record is from RNAcentral.
AAGGGAGCGCAGGCGGGAAGGCAAGUCUUUCCUGAAAGGGCGGGGCUCAACCCCGCAGGGGGAAAGAAACUGCCCUCCUUGAGUGCAGGAGAGGAAAGCGGAAUUCCUAGUGUAGCGGUGAAAUGCGUAGAUAUUAGGAGGAACACCAGUGGCGGAGGCGGCUUUCUGGACUGCAACUGACGCUGANGCUCGAAAGCCAGGGGAGCGAACGGGAUUAGAUACCCCCGGUAGUCNUGGCCGUAAAC